RNAcentral lists this long non-coding RNA (4002 nucleotides) under Vigna radiata. RNAcentral's name for it is "long non-coding RNA (VRAD_LNC009023)". Lineage: Eukaryota; Viridiplantae; Streptophyta; Magnoliopsida; Fabales; Fabaceae. The record is from RNAcentral.
UUCCCUCUCCAAUUUUCACUCACCAUCCCUAACAUCCUCAACGUCACUGUAGAACUGCUUGUUCCAAUUCCACAUGCUGCCUAUUUCCCCUUUUUAAUUAGGUUUUCAUUUCGGAACAAAAAAUGCUUAACUGAGACGUGUUUGGUUUCUUACUUCUCUAUUAAGUGUUUGUUUUUGUUGUGUUUGUGAUUUUCAGACAAUGAGAUGGAAUAAGCGAUGAAGAGGCAAUGUAAAAUUAAUUUGUAUGGAACUGCUUUUCCACUGAAGGAGGAGCUUGACAAGCAAAUAUUGUCUAGGUACCUGCUUUUGGAUUCGAUUAAUCUAUUGCAUAUUUUGGUAUAGUUUCUUAGAGUGUUUCGAAAUUUAAAGCGUUUCAGUAGUGAUAAUUUGACAUGAGUCCCUGUUUGUGUCGAUGGUUGCUGGUUAAUCCAUUCCUUGAUUUUCAGGCACAAAUCAUAUGCAUCUCUAUAUACGGGGCAUGGUGUAAGACCCGAGUUUUUAUUUGGUGUAUUUUGUUGAGAUGCAUGCUAUAUUUUUGUAAGAGUCGACUAUGGAUAGUUUGCUAAAUGAUAUAGACUCCAUAUACUUCUUGUUGGUCUAUGGUUUGUGACCGAUGAGCUUGAUUGCAAAUAUAUGUUAAGACUACAUGUUUCCUCUAAUUGCUAUAUGUAGUUGAUGGUGUGAGACUAAAUUUUUCCUUGGGAGGGCUGGAUGUGUAUAAAACACAAACAUUUUCUUUAAGUAAAGGAGAGAGAAAACAACAAGGAAGAAAGGAGUGAACGUGAGAGUUUUGGUGUGCAUUUGAGAGGCUGAGAAUCCAAGAGAAACAUGAGGCUUAAACCAACAAAGAAGGGACUGGGAAACUUAAGAGAAUCAGAGAACUUUGGCAGGAGAAAUUGGUAAGGGGAGCUGGCAGAAUCUUGUAUCCUGUGAUUUUUGGCAUGAUGAUUAUGAAUGAGUAUACAUAUUUGUGGUUGGAUGCGUUUCUGAUAUUGUUAUUACUAUCAUUAUGGACUUCUUUGAUGCAUUUUUUUUGCUAUACGUAUGAGUUGUAGAUGAUUUACAUGGUAAGCAUGUGUUGAUAUGUGUUUAAUAUGUGGAUGAUGGUUUGCAUGUAAAAGUUUAUUGUUGUAGUAAGACUUUAAUAAAAAUGGAAAUAGUACUCUAAGACAGCCAGAUGAGUUUGGCAAAGUAAAACUUUGGUAGAGGUCGCUGAAUUUGGUUGAAAGAUGAACUAAGUUGGAAGUAGUUUGUAGUGGUGCAAAUUCUGGAAAAUGUUUACAGAUGUUGGAGAGUUUUUCGGAAUGGUGCAAUAUAUCUUAUGAUGUAGUAACCUUUAGAUGGUUGUUCCAUUGCUUAAAAUUCCUAGAGAACUUUAUCUCAAAGGUUAGCAGAAAAAUUAAAAUGGAGAGGCAGAGUUAAUUGGCUGAACUUUUUAUGAGAAUUCAGCUUUCCGUUUGCUUGACUAGGUUCACUAUUUUGACUUAGUUAGAGUCCAGCUUGUUUUAAAUAAUUUGGGACAGUAGCUAGCACUAAAAUAGGAAGUGAUGAAGUUGGUUUUUCCUUACUGGAAUAAAGUUUACGUUGGGAGAAAUUCCUUGGUUGGAUGCAACGUUCCAGACUUUAUAGUUCGUGUAAAAGACGCAUGUUUUCCCUUGAUGUAGUGCUACUUUGAAGGUUAAUGUGAACUGCAAUUGGCUAGACCAGUGAGCUGGAAUUACUGCAGCGUUUUCCUCCUGGAUGGGACUUGAAUGAUGCUGGAACGUGACCAGAGCUGGUGUAGUUGCUACAUGAAUCAAAUGAAGCUAGUUUGGUUUGGUUUUGUUCAAUUGGUGCAAUGUUUCCUUUGCUGGACAGAAGUUUCUAGUGUUGCCACUCUUUCUUACGUCUAAAUAGAAAUAGGGUCAGUUUGGAUAAAAAAACAUAUAUAUGGCAGCAAGGAGGUCAAGUAAGCCGUUGUUUGGUGCCUUGUUUUUGGUGGAAUCAUUCUUUAUUUAGAUGAUGAAAUUAGAGAAAAUGUAAAUUAUGUUUUAGUGGGGUCAAGUGUUAGACUUUUGAAAGGUUUUCUUUAAAACAAAGCUUGCUAGACUUGAUUCAUGAGCCCAAACAGAAGCAACUUUUGGAGACCAUGCAGUGCAGCCUUUUUUGUUUGCUGCAGGAUAACCGUGAGCUGAAGGAGGGUUGGACCAUUUUUCUCACGUCAAGUUGACCAAGAGGAAGAUGUUAGAGCUACUAACAUUGAGAUACAGAGAUCAGAACAGCUACUGGAAUUUUUAGUUGGCACAAAACAACUCUCCCUUUUCUUUGAUCAAAACUAGUUUAACUACUAGACUCUUGUAGAGUUGGGGAGGUGCUUUCUAUCCAGAAUUUUCAUUGAGGCUUAAAACUAGAUUCUAAGAACUCUAGUUCUUUAGAAGAGUUAAAACAUGAUGAAGUUCAAGCUUUCUUGAACUGGACCGUUAGUUGGAAGGCACAAGGGUCUCUAGAAGGAACUGAACUUCGAGUAGGUGUUGUCUUUAGCUUAAGUGCUGCAGUAUUUUUGUUUCUUGAUUAUUUGAGAGCUGGAACAUGACUUUUAGGUGGUCUAUGGUGCAAAGAACCAAGUACCUUGAUCACAUGAGUUGAGCUAGUGGUGGAAUUUUCCUUUGUUGGCUGGUGCAGCUAUACUAGGAGGAAGUUCAUGCUGGUUUUCCAUGGUUGGUUCACGUUCUUGUCUUUCCUUUCUCUGGUUUUGUGGUGCAGCAUCAGAUUUGAGUUAUUUAAGCUAUGGUAAGACCUGUUUGGAGAAGAUUUUGAUCAUUAGAAAUAUGUGUCAUGGUAUAAGCAAAUUCACGUUAGUUUGGGUAGAUAGUGCAAUAGAAUUUUUUUGCAAUGUUUAAGUCAUAGAUAGAAUUGGCUAUAUUAUUCUAUUUGUUCACGUGAAAGUGGCAGAUUGUUGAUGCACUUUUUAUAUUUUCUUCCUAUAAAAUAAUAUGGCUGAAUGGUAAAUUCCUAUAGUCACUUUUUAUAUUUCAAUGGCCAUGACUAUACUUGUUUUAUGGUUCAUUAGAACAAAAUCUUAUACUUGUAGUCAUGGAGAUAAUUGUAAUCUUAUAUUUAAAUAUUCGAUACCGUUGACAUCUGCAAUGGUGGGAAAAAUGUUUUACAUGAUUUUAUAUAGCACCGAAAUGAAAUAGAUAUAUAGCUUAGUUUAUGAACGAAACACAACUUUUUUAAAAUAGAAAAACAUAUUUGACUCGUUUAAGAUUUGACGAGCAUUAUAAUUGAAAUGCUAUAGUUGAAGAUAAAUGCAUGGCAUGUAUGAACUAGGCUUAAUAUUUUUGAGCGACGUUAUUUCUAAUGAUUUGAGGCCUUUGAUUAUGAGUUUGGUAUCCAUGAUAAUAAGAAAUGCAAUCUUAACUGUUGCUGUUUUUUAUUAAUUGAGAUACGACGUGUUAUUGUUUUACUUCUGUCUCUCAAUAUCAUUGAUGUUAUUUGCAUAUCCCCAUGACUUGGAAACUUUUAGGCCUUCCGACAUGCAUCAUGGGAUGGAAGUUCGCCUUGGUCUAUCUUAGGGACCAAUGUACCCAAGUAUUAUAUAAUUAAAUUUUGAGUUUUACACUGGUACCCAAAAGUUGGCUUUUAUGGUAAAAUCAUCUUGUUAUUCUUUAAGAUGGAAGUGUCCAAGGAACCUACAUAUGCAAUCGUGGACUUAUGUUUUCCUUUGGGUUGGAUGCUAGAAAUGUUAUGGACUAUAUUAAACACAACAUGCCUUUUAGAGUAAAUGCAGAAUUUAUGCAUGAGGCGUUUGAGUUGAGUAUCCUUCUUUAAUUCUAAGUGUUAGUAACUUCUAGAAACUUGACUACAAUUUAGUAUUAUAUAUGUAGGUUAACGUAAUAUUUGGAUUGAAUAUAUAGUUUUAGGUUUAAUUGCUUCUUUUGUUCCGAGUUUGGUUGAAGUGUGUCAAAUUCGUCCCCCUUUUAGAAAAAUGUCAAUUUCGUCCUCAUAUAGAAAAAAUUUGUG